GUGGGUGUGAGAAGAGAAGCCAUUGCAGAAAAUACCUGUCUCUGAACGCACGGGGAAGAAUCAAACUAGAACUUUGUGGAAAAGCUCUGACAGACAAAGGGGAGAAACCAAGAUUGCUUUACUGAGACGAAACAGCAAGAUAUUUACAACUGGGGCAAAGACCAUAAUCUCUGAGUGUACGAUGAAUCGACCCCCAGUCUCUCAAAGAGUGCAGUAUCUUAUUGGUUUUGUUGAUUGCGGCUCUGCACUGGUCACACAUGGCACUCGGCAUGACUCUCUGAAGUCUGCCAGGCCUCUUCCAACCUCGGCAAUUUCAACAUCCUUCAUGAAAGAACUGCAAAAUCAAUAUUUUCUCUCCACGGGCAGCUGCUCACACCUUCCUGGUAAACCAGCAUUCCAGCUGCUGUUCCUUCACCAUGAGCUGUUCCUUGGGGUAGUUUCCAGUUGCAACUCAUCCAUCGCCAAUACCGUCAGCAUCUCCAGGAUUACCUCUCUUCAUGCAGCUCCAUCGUCAAGCCUUGGGGCUUCUCAGGACUCACUGACUUUGUUCAACAACUGCCAGCCUGACCUAUUUGCUUGGUGUUAUCUGU
Molecule: non-coding RNA, 590 nt
Organism: Chiloscyllium plagiosum (whitespotted bambooshark)
Lineage: Eukaryota; Metazoa; Chordata; Chondrichthyes; Orectolobiformes; Hemiscylliidae
Source: RefSeq, a predicted model, not a curated record